RNAcentral lists this ribosomal RNA (460 nucleotides) under uncultured bacterium. RNAcentral describes it as "partial 16S ribosomal RNA". It matches the Rfam family "Bacterial small subunit ribosomal RNA", at positions 338 to 795 of the family's 1533-position model. The record is from RNAcentral.
CCUACGGGAGGCAGCAGUGAGGAAUAUUGGUCAAUGGACGCGAGUCUGAACCAGCCAAGUAGCGUGAAGGAUGACUGCCCUAUGGGUUGUAAACUUCUUUUAUACAGGAAUAAAACCAGGCACGUGUGCCUUUUUGCAUGUAUUUUAUGAAUAAGGAUCGGCUAACUCCGUGCCAGCAGCCGCGGUAAUACGGAGGAUCCGAGCGUUAUCCGGAUUUAUUGGGUUUAAAGGGUGCGUAGAUGGUUUUAUAAGUCAGUUGUGAAAGUUUGGGGCUCAACCGUGAAAUUGCAAUUGAUACUGGAGGUCUUGAGUGCAGUUGCGGUAGGCGGAAUGCGUGGUGUAGCGGUGAAAUGCUUAGAGAUCACGAAGAACACCGAUUGCGAAGGCAGCUUACUAAACUGUGACUGACAUUGAUGCUCGAAAGUGUGGGUAGCAAACAGGAUUAGAUACCCGUGUAGUC